Carcharodon carcharias (great white shark) is the source of this 1053-nucleotide long non-coding RNA. RefSeq lists it as uncharacterized. Lineage: Eukaryota; Metazoa; Chordata; Chondrichthyes; Lamniformes; Lamnidae. The transcript is spliced from 3 exons. The record is from RefSeq and is a predicted model, not a curated record.
CUGAGUCACAGCGUAAAUAAAUGUGUUUGUGCAGCAAUUUAAACUCUGCAGCAUAAAUCCGACUUGUUGGAAUAUAAAUUCAGGAUAGGUGAGGUAAAUUAACCCUCUCACAUAGAAGAAUUUUAUAACAUACACCGACCACAGGAGGAUGAAGGUGCCGGAUAUGGUGAAGAGUAAAAUCAUAGACUUCCUCCUGCUCUCCAUCUCUGGGUCACUGCGAUUCUCUCCCUUACUCUGAGCCCUCAGUCCCUUCCGGACUCGACUGGUCACUAAAAUGUGUCUGACUGUCAGAGCGUUGAUCAGCAGAAUUAAUCCGAAUGGGAGCAAUGGGGUUAAAACUUUCUCAAACCAGAAAAAUCCAACCCAUCCGGGAUCAGUAAGAUAGCUUAGCUUUGUCUUACAGCCACACUGUACAUUGUCAAUUAUCACUUUAGGUUCCAUUGUAAAGUAUUGGGGGAUGUUUUUUAAACAGAGCAGGAUACCGGUUGUCGCUAGAACCACAGCCGCUGUUUUCCCGGUGCAAUAUUCUGUUUUCAGCUUCUGGCAACGAAUGGCCACAAAUCGAUCAAAGGAGAAAGUGACGGUGAAUCAGACAGAACAGUCCAUGGCGGCAGCCUGCAGGACACCGUGAACACGACACACAGGAGUGAGGGAGGACAGGAUUUCAGCACCAAAACAGAGUUUGGUCACAGGAGGACAGGCAGGCGACUGGCUGUGUCUGUGGAUGAAAACCUGAAGCUGCCCCAUUGGCUGUUGCGCCUGUCAGUUAUGGGGCUGUUUUCCCUGACUGGCACAAGCAGCUGUCAGUUAGCAGCAGAGGUACCUGAUAGGCUGAGGCGAAUGUCAGUCAGCAUGCGGAGUUCCCUCAUUGCAGGAAGUGCCUGACCGUCAGCGGAAGGAGCGCUUUGAUUGGCUGUGGCGGCUGUCAGUCACAUGUUUUUCUUCAUUAAUUGAACAACUGAUGUAACCGGAUAUUUCACCGCGUUCUUGAUCUGCUCUCGGAACUUGGACUGAGUCACCCCAUAAAUAAAUGUGUUUGUGCAGCAAUUUAAA